RNAcentral lists this ribosomal RNA (382 nucleotides) under uncultured eukaryote. RNAcentral describes it as "partial 18S ribosomal RNA". It matches the Rfam family "Eukaryotic small subunit ribosomal RNA", at positions 592 to 976 of the family's 1831-position model. The record is from RNAcentral.
UGUAAGCGUAUACCAAAGUUGUUGCAGUUAAAACGCUCGUAGUCGGAAUUUGGCAGUUCCGGAAGUGUGCACGUCGUGUGCGCACUUUGCGGGGACUGCUUUUGUGGUCUUGCGUAGGAUGAGGCACUUUCAUUAGUGAACGUCCUCACGCAACCACUCUUUACUGUGAGAAAAUCAGAGUGCUCAAAGCAGGCAUUUGCCGUGAAUGUAUUAGCAUGGAAUAAUAGAAUAGGACUCGGUUCUAUUUUGUUGGUUUGUUGGGACUGAGUAAUGAUUAAGAGGGACAGUUGGGGGCAGUUGUAUUCCGGCGCUAGAGGUGAAAUUCUUAGAUUGCCGGAAGACAAACUGCUGCGAAAGCGUCUGCCAAGGAUGUUUUCAUUGA